This 259-nucleotide ribosomal RNA is filed under the name uncultured bacterium. RNAcentral's name for it is "partial 16S ribosomal RNA". It matches the Rfam family "Bacterial small subunit ribosomal RNA", at positions 524 to 778 of the family's 1533-position model. The record is from RNAcentral.
UACGAGAGGGGGCGGACGUUAUUCGGAAUUAUUGGGAGCGUAAAGGGCGCGUAGGCGGCUUUUCAAGUGACGGGUGAAAUCCCCGGGCUCAACCCGGGAACUGCGUCCGAUACUGGCAGGCUCGAAUCCGGGAGAGGGAUGGCGGAAUUCCAGGUGUAGCGGUGAAAUGCGUAGAUAUCUGGAGGAACACCGGUGGCGAAGGCGGCAUCCUGGACCGGCAUUGACGCUGAGGCGCGAAAGCCAGGGGAGCCAAAGCGGG